Molecule: non-coding RNA, 924 nt
Organism: Misgurnus anguillicaudatus (oriental weatherfish)
Lineage: Eukaryota; Metazoa; Chordata; Actinopteri; Cypriniformes; Cobitidae
Source: RefSeq, a predicted model, not a curated record
GAUCGCUUGAUAUGAGACACAUACUGUAUUUAAAGGUGAUGUAUGCAUGUUACUUUCAAUACUGACAUUAAAAUAAUAGUUAUUUACUGUUAAAAACAUUUUGAAAAUUGAAGUUUUGUGUGUUCUUAUUGUACUUUAUAUCGUUUAUAACAGGUCAACUUUAUACUGUAAGCUUCAUUCCAUUUAUAACAGAGUUUUCAUAUGUGAGGUAAUCUUGCUGGGAGUGAAGGCAGUGCGUAUGACCGCUUGAUACGAGAGACACAUUCUAUUUUUAAAGGUCAACAUACUGAUGACCACAGCCAGGUGAUGGAGAUCUGUGUUAAUCACAGCCUGCGUCUCAAGAUCAACAUGACAACAGCAGACCAUUUCUUAUCUUACUCUUAUCUGACUAAAUGUUCAGCAUUAUUGGAACAAAACAAAGAACAUUGGAUGGAGUAUUGGAGUAUUGGAUGAUCCCGUAAAGAAAAUAAUAUGGACUUUUUUGGUGAGAUUCUACAAAGAUUGACACAAUCCUAUUGACUUUUAUUUUUACAGUUAAUAAUGCAUUAUAAACAUCCCAUUCAUUUGUAUUCUAUGUCAUCGAUCUGUUUGUGCUAAAAUGUAUACAUCUGAAUGUAAUGUCAAUAAUAUGUUAAUAUUCAGGAUUUAUUAUCAUUUGCAUGUUUUGAUGUUGCAUGUCAUGAUUUUAUUGAUUUCAUGUAAUUGUUGUCUAUUUAAAAUUAUUUUAAUUGCCAAAUUUUACUUUUAAUUUAUUUAAUAUUGAAGCCGUUAUUUAACAUCCAUAUCUUAUUUGAGUAGUGAUUUGUUAUAUUUGCAUAAUAAUUCAUAUAUUUAUUCUGAUUGUGAUUUUAAUGCACAUAUUUAUUAUUGUAUGACACCUCAUGUAAUGAAAAAGUGAAAAUAAAAGUAUGUUCUGAAGUCUUG